Molecule: ribosomal RNA, 460 nt
Filed under: uncultured bacterium
Lineage: Bacteria
Description: partial 16S ribosomal RNA
Rfam family: Bacterial small subunit ribosomal RNA
Source: RNAcentral
CCUACGGGAGGCAGCAGUGAGGAAUAUUGGUCAAUGGACGAGAGUCUGAACCAGCCAAGUAGCGUGAAGGAUGACUGCCCUAUGGGUUGUAAAGUUCUUUUAUAAAGGAAUAAAACGAGGCACGUGUGCCUUUUUGCAUGUACUUUAUGAAUAAGGAUCGGCUAACUCCGUGCCAGCAGCCGCGGUAAUACGGAGGAUCCGUGCGUUAUCCGGAUUUAUUGGGUUUAAAGGGAGCGUAGAUGGGUUGUUAAGUCAGUUGUGAAAGUUUGCGGCUCAACCGUAAAAUUGCAAUUGAUACUGGCAGUCUUGAGUACAGUUGAGGUAGGCGGAAUUCGUGGUGUAGCGGUGAAAUGCUUAGAUAUCACGAAGAACCCCGAUUGCGAAGGCAGCUUACUAAACUGUGACUGACAUUGAUGCUCGAAAGUGUGGGUAUCAAACAGGAUUAGAUACCCGAGUAGUC